This 407-nucleotide ribosomal RNA is filed under the name uncultured bacterium. RNAcentral describes it as "partial 16S ribosomal RNA". It matches the Rfam family "Bacterial small subunit ribosomal RNA", at positions 30 to 526 of the family's 1533-position model. The record is from RNAcentral.
AUUGAACGCUGGCGGCAGGCCUAACACAUGCAAGUCGAGCGGAGCGGCGGACGGGUGGGUAAUGCCUAGGAAUCUGCCUGGUAGCGGGGGAUAACGUCCGUAAACGGACGCUAAUACCGCAUCCUAUCAGAUGAGCCUAGAUCGGAUUAGCUAGUGGGUGGGGUAAAGGCCUACCAAGGCGACGAUCCGUAACUGGUGUGAGAGGAUGACCAGUCACACUGGAACGGAGAAACGGACCAGACUCCUACGGGAGGCAGCAGUGGGGAAUAUUGGAAAAUGGGCGAAAGCCGGAUCCAGCCAUGCCGCGUGGGUGAAGAAGGUCUUCGGAUUGUAAAGCACUUUAAGUUGGGAGGCGUUACCAACAGAAUAAGCACCGGCUAACUUCGUGCCAGCAGCCGCGGUAAUUC